GAGCAGUGUGUGUGUGAGUGUGUGUGUGUGUGUGUGUGUGUGUGUGUGCGUGCGUGUGUGUGGGGCAUGCACACAC
RNAcentral lists this microRNA precursor (76 nucleotides) under Myotis lucifugus (little brown bat). RNAcentral's name for it is "miRNA (ENSMLUG00000030188.1)". Lineage: Eukaryota; Metazoa; Chordata; Mammalia; Chiroptera; Vespertilionidae. The record is from RNAcentral.